GACCUGAAAUUUGGGCUCAAGGAGUCAGCUGUAUCUCCAUUUUCAAUACCAAGAAAAGAUUAUACCUGCAUGUAAACAAUAAAACAAGAACACAUGAAACUCGAAAUAGUUCUGAAAUAAAAUGUGAGCGAAAUCUUUGAUUUGAUUGGUGUGUUGAUUCUAAAGAUGAUAUUCAAUCGAAGAUUGGAAUAAGAUUAAGGUUUCAGGAUCAGGAGGUUUCAUGAAGUAAAAAAAAUUAUUGUUGCAAGGUUAAUUGAAAUCUUUUUUUGAAAAAUAGCAGUCCCCACUUUUUAGGGCUGUAGAUUUGAGCGGGUGGAAAAGGUGGUGGGUUAGAAAUUGUCCUACCAGCUUAGGUUUUAUU
This is a long non-coding RNA of Cryptomeria japonica (Japanese cedar), 361 nucleotides long. RefSeq lists it as uncharacterized. The record is from RefSeq and is a predicted model, not a curated record. The transcript has 3 exons. NCBI's taxonomy places the organism in Eukaryota, Viridiplantae, Streptophyta, Pinopsida, Cupressales, Cupressaceae.